Molecule: small nuclear RNA, 106 nt
Organism: Polypterus senegalus (gray bichir)
Lineage: Eukaryota; Metazoa; Chordata; Cladistia; Polypteriformes; Polypteridae
Source: RefSeq, a predicted model, not a curated record
AUGAGCAACCUGACAAGUUCACUAAAACUGGAGCGAUGCAGAGAGUAUUAGCAUGGCCCCUGGCACAAGGAUGACAUGCAUAAUCAUGGAAGCAGCCCUCUUUUGU